UACGUAUGGUGCAAGCGUUAUCCGGAUUUACUGGGUGUAAAGGGAGCGCAGGCGGUGCGGCAAGUCUGAUGUGAAAGCCCGGGGCCCAACCCCGGUACUGCAUUGGAAACUGUCGUACUAGAGUGUCGGAGGGGUAAGCGGAAUUCCUAGUGUAGCGGUGAAAUGCGUAGAUAUUAGGAGGAACACCAGUGGCGAAGGCGGCUUACUGGACGAUAACUGACGCUGAGGCUCGAAAGCGUGGGGAGCAAACAGG
This 253-nucleotide ribosomal RNA is filed under the name Roseburia faecis M72/1. RNAcentral's name for it is "partial 16S ribosomal RNA". It matches the Rfam family "Bacterial small subunit ribosomal RNA", at positions 524 to 776 of the family's 1533-position model. Lineage: Bacteria; Bacillati; Bacillota; Clostridia; Lachnospirales; Lachnospiraceae. The record is from RNAcentral.